RNAcentral lists this ribosomal RNA (406 nucleotides) under uncultured bacterium. RNAcentral describes it as "partial 16S ribosomal RNA". It matches the Rfam family "Bacterial small subunit ribosomal RNA", at positions 30 to 526 of the family's 1533-position model. The record is from RNAcentral.
AUUGAACGCUGGCGGCAUGCCUAACACAUGCAAGUCGAACGAGCGGCGCACGGGUGAGUAAUAUAUCGGAACGUGUCCUAUCGUGGGGGAUAACUGCUCGAAAGAUUAGCUAAUACCGCAUACGAUCGGAUCUGCCCAUAGGGGAUUAGCUAGUUGGUGAGGUAACGGCUCACCAAGGCGACGAUCGGUAGCUGGUCUGAGAGGAUGACCAGCCACACUGGGACUGAGACACGGUCCAGACUCCUACGGGAGGCAGCAGUGGGGAAUAUUGGACAAUGGGGGCAACCCUGAUGCAGCCAUGCCGCGUGCAGGAAGAAGGUCUUCGGGUUGUAAACUACUUUUGGCGGGGAAGCGGUACCUGAAGAAGAAGCACCGGCUAACUCCGUGCCAGCAGCCGCGGUAAUAC